AUUCAAACUCCCAUCCAAUAGGAAGGCACAGACGCAACCUCGGCCACUUCAUUUGCACAACAAAGCCGUCUCUUUCAGUCUUGCCUUGUGCCUCAGAGCGGCGGUGGACUGGGGGAGCCCAGCCCCUGGGCGUCCAGCUUCGCGCGCUGCUCAAUAGCUCCACGGGCAGCUCCCCCCUCGGACUCCUGCUCCAGCCCAGCAGGUCGGAUUGUGAGAGAAAAGCACGGAGGAAGAGCGCUGCAUCUCACAGGAAUGCACUGCUGGAUUGGUCACAAUGGACUCUGAGAAAGCAGCUGUUGAACUGCAAGGCAAUUCUGUUGAUGCAUAUUCCUGGGGUAACUCAUUACAGCCCACAAAACACAAAGCACAGCUUGACUUCAAAUUGUCCAUCCCCAGGGGAAGACAUCUUUCUAGAAAUUAUAAUACAAUCAAUACAAUCAGUGUGACAUUUAAGGCAGUGUGACAAAACAAUAUAUAGUAUGACUGCAAAUACAGUCCAUGUAUAAUGUCUAUAAACAAAUAGACUGUAUAUUAUGUGCAUAUAUGUCAACUAUAUGGUGCAAAGCUUAAAUAAAUACAUCAAAAUCAUGCUUCAUGCACAUCUUCAUGAACAAUUUUAUAAAACAGUAAAUGUCUGCCCUACUAGUGUAUGAAGUAUAGUGUUUAUGUAAACAGUUCACAGCUGGACAUUAUUUCUUUCUGAAAUGCAAAUAUUUUGUAUGUAGUUCAUAUGAUUAUGAGACAUUCUACUUUCCAUGAAGUUGUGUUCUAAACUGAUUAGAAUUUUGGCUAUGUAUUUGGGUAUAACCAGCUUUUUUUAUCAAUGCAUUGUUGUUUUGAGUCCUCAAAAAAGGAAUCCUGGGUUUCACCUUUUGAUGUGCCUCAGCCUUUGGAUUUGGUGCUGCCAUGGAAACUAUGGUUUUUGUCACUGAGCUC
Molecule: long non-coding RNA, 936 nt
Filed under: Lepisosteus oculatus (spotted gar)
Lineage: Eukaryota; Metazoa; Chordata; Actinopteri; Semionotiformes; Lepisosteidae
Description: lncRNA (ENSLOCG00000022139.1)
Source: RNAcentral